AUGCUGGAGGUAUCAGAAGUGCGAAUGCUGACAUAAGUAACGAUAAAGCGGGUGAAAAGCCCGCUCGCCGGAAGACCAAGGGUUCCUGUCCAACGUUAAUCGGGGCAGGGUGAGUCGACCCCUAAGGCGAGGCCGAAAGGCGUAGUCGAUGGGAAACAGGUUAAUAUUCCUGUACUUGGUGUUACUGCGAAGGGGGGACGGAGAAGGCUAUGUUGGCCGGGCGACGGUUGUCCCGGUUUAAGCGUGUAGGCUGGUUUUCCAGGCAAAUCCGGAAAAUCAAGGCUGAGGCGUGAUGACGAGGCACUACGGUGCUGAAGCAACAAAUGCCCUGCUUCCAGGAAAAGCCUCUAAGCAUCAGGUAACAUCAAAUCGUACCCCAAACCGACACAGGUGGUCAGGUAGAGAAUACCAAGGCGCUUGAGAGAACUCGGGUGAAGGAACUAGGCAAAAUGGUGCCGUAACUUCGGGAGAAGGCACGCUGAUAUGUAGGUGAAGUCCCUCGCGGAUGGAGCUGAAAUCAGUCGAAGAUACCAGCUGGCUGCAACUGUUUAUUAAAAACACAGCACUGUGCAAACACGAAAGUGGACGUAUACGGUGUGACGCCUGCCCGGUGCCGGAAGGUUAAUUGAUGGGGUCAGCGCAAGCGAAGCUCUUGAUCGAAGCCCCGGUAAACGGCGGCCGUAACUAUAACGGUCCUAAGGUAGCGAAAUUCCUUGUCGGGUAAGUUCCGACCUGCACGAAUGGCGUAAUGAUGGCCAGGCUGUCUCCACCCGAGACUCAGUGAAAUUGAACUCGCUGUGAAGAUGCAGUGUACCCGCGGCAAGACGGAAAGACCCCGUGAACCUUUACUAUAGCUUGACACUGAACAUUGAGCCUUGAUGUGUAGGAUAGGUGGGAGGCUUUGAAGUGUGGACGCCAGUCUGCAUGGAGCCGACCUUGAAAUACCACCCUUUAAUGUUUGAUGUUCUAACGUGGACCCGUAAUCCGGGUUGCGGACAGUGUCUGGUGGGUAGUUUGACUGGGGCGGUCUCCUCCUAAAGAGUAACGGAGGAGCACGAAGGUUGGCUAAUCCUGGUCGGACAUCAGGAGGUUAGUGCAAUGGCAUAAGCCAGCUUGACUGCGAGCGUGACGGCGCGAGCAGGUGCGAAAGCAGGUCAUAGUGAUCCGGUGGUUCUGAAUGGAAGGGCCAUCGCUCAACGGAUAAAAGGUACUCCGGGGAUAACAGGCUGAUACCGCCCAAGAGUUCAUAUCGACGGCGGUGUUUGGCACCUCGAUGUCGGCUCAUCACAUCCUGGGGCUGAAGUAGGUCCCAAGGGUAUGGCUGUUCGCCAUUUAAAGUGGUACGCGAGCUGGGUUUAGAACGUCGUGAGACAGUUCGGUCCCUAUCUGCCGUGGGCGCUGGAGAACUGAGGGGGGCUGCUCCUAGUACGAGAGGACCGGAGUGGACGCAUCACUGGUGUUCGGGUUGUCAUGCCAAUGGCACUGCCCGGUAGCUAAAUGCGGAAGAGAUAAGUGCUGAAAGCAUCUAAGCACGAAACUUGCCCCGAGAUGAGUUCUCCCUGACUCCUUGAGAGUCCUGAAGGAACGUUGAAGACGACGACGUUGAUAGGCCGGGUGUGUAAGCGCAGCGAUGCGUUGAGCUAACCGGUACUAAUGAACCGUGAGGCUUAACC
RNAcentral lists this ribosomal RNA (1673 nucleotides) under Escherichia coli. RNAcentral describes it as "bacterial LSU rRNA". It matches the Rfam family "Bacterial large subunit ribosomal RNA", at positions 1270 to 2925 of the family's 2925-position model. Lineage: Bacteria; Pseudomonadati; Pseudomonadota; Gammaproteobacteria; Enterobacterales; Enterobacteriaceae. The record is from RNAcentral.